GCACUGCUGAGGAGUCCCACAAUAGGACAAAACGACCGUCCAGUAC
RNAcentral lists this non-coding RNA (46 nucleotides) under Schistosoma margrebowiei. The record is from RNAcentral. Lineage: Eukaryota; Metazoa; Platyhelminthes; Trematoda; Strigeidida; Schistosomatidae.